GUGAUGCAUGUCUUUGAUGCAAUAUUGAUACGCCUGAUGCUGUACUGAACCAUAUGGAAUUGGGGUCGGGGUGUUUAAGGUUUCAAGACAAAAUGGAUGAAGUAAUUAUAUGAAUGUGAAAACACAGUCAUAAUUUAUAUCUCAUUUCUCUAUACUCAUUUGUGACUGUCCAUAGUCUCAGCUCAUUACAAAGGCUUCUGACUGAGUUUUUAAAAAAUGUACUGAUUAACAGAUUCACUGUUACUCAGGAAAACUGAUAAUCAUGACUGAAGAAGAAGGGAAAGGUCUCAUUGCCACUGAGAAGACCUUUGAAGAACUUGCUAGGGAAUACUUGGGAGACACUGUAGGGUCUGGUACAGAUGAUGCGGAUCUGGAUGAACUGGCAGACAAGUAUUUGACAGACUUGGACACAUCUCCUGACUCAGCAUUGAAGACAUACAGUUCAGACUGCAGCAAGGUUGUGUCGGAGAAACCAGCCUCAUCCAGUGAAAUGACAGAAGAUGCUGCAGUGACACUAGUUCUUCCCACUGCUUUGGAUUCUCCCAACAAGAGGAAGUCUCCAGGUUCUCCUUCAUCACCUGAUAGGAAACAGAGGAAAACUGGGAUUCUUGAAAUGAAGGAUGGGACCAAAGAGAAACUCAGUGCCACAGUUUCACCAACAGUAACAAGUACAAAUAACAGUAAUGCAGCACCUGAAACUGAAGGAACACAAGAGGGAGACAAAGAUGAAAUGGCUAAACAAGUGGGAAAAAAGUCUUUGUCAGGUAGACCCAAAACAAAAGAGUACCAUUCAGGUGGUCUGAGGCGCAGUAAUGACACAAGACACCAACGGGACAAAUAUUCCAGGGAUGCUGCUAGUAGAUACACUAUGUCAGGACAGAGAGAACAGGGUAGGAGAGGGCUUCUGGGACACUGUCCUCCCAGCCUUAAUGUUAUGGCCAGACCGGAGAACCAGAACAGGAAUGGACCAAGAGGAGGUAGUCAUGAUCAGAAUACAUCAAGAUGGAACGGUGAUCGAUUAGCUUUGGAUGCUAGUUGCAACGAGGGGCCCUGGGGAGAAAAAAGAGAAAUUGGUAGGACAGAAUCAAAUUUUGAGCAUCCUUUCCAAGACAAGUUUGGAAAUAGUGAUGGAAGAAAACCUUUUCAUAGAACAGCUCUUCAUAGAAAUGAAUAUGUGCCUUCUGACUUGUACAGGAGGGAUGGUUUGUUAGAUCGUCCACCUCAACCAUCAUUCAAUAGGGAUGAGAAUAGUCGGAGAAAUGGUCUGUUAGAUCCUCCACCUCAACCAUCAUUCAAUAGGGAGGAGAAUAGUCGGAGAAAUGGCCUGUUAGAUCCUCCGUCUCAACCAUCAUUCAAUAGAGAUGAAAAUAGUCGGAGAAAUGGUCUGUUAGAUCCUCCACCUCAACCAUCGUUCAGUAGGGAUGAGAAUAGUCGGAGAAAUGGUCUGUUAGAUCUUCCACCUCAACCAUCCUUUGGAAAUGAUGAGAAUUUUCGGAGAGAUGGUCUGUUGGACCCUCCUCAAAAUCCAUUCAGUAGGGAUGAGAAUUUCAGAAGAGAUGGUCUGCUAGACCCUCCUCAACCACCUUUCAGUAGGGAUGAGAAUUAUCGGAGAGAUGGUCUGUUGGACCCUCCUCAACCAUCAUUCAAUAGGGAUCAGAAUAUCAGGAGAGAUGGCACUUUUGAUCCUCAAGCAUUUUUCAGUAGGGAUGAGAUAUGUAGGAGAAAUGGCCCAGUUGACCAGCCUCAACCGCCAUUCAAAAGAGAUGAGAAUUUUCGCAGAGAUGGUCUGUUAGACACUCCUCAAGAGUCUUUGAAUAGGAAUGAAAAUUUUAGGAGAGAUGCUCUGUUAAACCCUCCUCAAGAGUCAUUGAAUAGGAAUGAAAAUUUUAGGAGAGAUGCUCUGUUAAACCCUCCUCAAGAGUCAUUGAAUAGGAAUGAAAAUUUUAGGAGAGAUACUUUGUUAAACCUUGGUCAACCACCAUUCAAUAUGGAUGAGAAUUUUCGCAGAGAUGGUCUGUUAGACCCUCCUCGGGAGUCAUUCAAUAGGGAUGAGAAUUUCAGGAAAGACCAUCUGUUAGAUCCUCCAAGACCAUCAUUCAGUAGGGAUGAGAAUUUUAGGAGAGAUGGUUUGUUAGACCCUCCUCAAGAAUCUUUGAAUAGGAAUGAAAAUUUGAGGAGAGAUGCUUUGUUAGACCCUCCUCAACCUCCAUUCAAUAGGGAUGAGAAUUUUCGCAGAGAUUGUCUGUUAGACCCUCCUCGGGAGUCAUUCAGUAGGGGUGAGAAUUUCAGGAAAGACCAUCUGUUAGACUCUCCUCAACCACCAUUCAGUAGGGAUGAGAAUUUUAGGAGAGAUGGUUUGUUAGACCCUCCUAAACCUCCAUCCAAUAGGGACGAGAAAUUUCGCAGAGAUGGUCUGUUAGACCCUCCUCAAGAGUCAUUCAAUAGGGAUGACAAUUUCAGGAGGGACCACCUGUUAGACCCUCCAAAACCACCUUUUAAUAGGGAGGAGAAUUUUCGCAGAGAUGGUCUGCUAGACCCUCCUAAGGAAUCUUUGAAUAGGAAUGAAAAUUUUAGGAGAGAUGCUCUGUUAGACCCUCCUCAACCAGCAUUCAGUAGGGAUGAGAAUUUUAGGAGAGAUGGUUUGUUAGACCCUCCUCAACCUCCAUUCCAUAGGGAUGAGAAUUUUCGCAGAGAUGGUCUGUUAGACCCUCCUCAACCACCAUUCAAUAGGGAUGAGAAUUUUCGCAGAGAUUGUGUGUUGGACCCUCCACAACCACCAUUCAAUAGGGACGAGAAUUUUCACAGAGAUGCUCUGUUAGACCCUCCUCGAGAGUCAUUCAAUAGGGAUGAGAAUUUCAGGAGAGACCAUCUGUUAGACCCUCCAAAAUCUUUUAAAAGGGAUGAGAAGUUUCAGAGAGAUGGUCUGUUGGACCUUCCUCAACCACCAUGUCAUAGGGAUGAGAAUUUGAGGAGAGAUGGUCUGUUAGACCCCCCUCAAGAGUCAUUGAAUAGGAAUGAGAAUUUUAGGAGAGAAGGACUUUUAGAUCCUCAACCAUCUUUUCAUAGGGAUGAGAAAUUCAGAAGAGAUGCUCUGUUGGCUCCUCCUCGUGAGUUAUUGAAUAGGAAUGAACAAUUUAGGAGAGAUGCUCUAUUAGACCAUCCUCAACCACUGUUUAAUAGGGAUGAGAAUUUUCAGAGAGGUGGUCUGUUAGACCAUCCUCAACAGCUGUAUAUAAGGGACAAGAAUUUUCAGAGGGAUGGUCUGGUAGAUCCUCCUCAAGAGUCAUUCAAUAGAGAUGAGAAUAUCCGGAGAGAUGGCCUGUUAGAUCCUCCUCAACCACCAUUCAAUAGGGAUCAGAAUAUCAGGAGAGAUGGCCUGUUAGAUCCUCCUCAACCACCAUUCAAUAGGGAUCAGAAUAUUAGGAGAGAUGGUCUGUUAGACCCUCCUCAACCAUCCUUCAGUGGGGAUGAGAAUUUUCAGAGAGAUGGUCUGUUAGACCCUCCUCAACCACCAUUCAAUAGGGAUCAGAAUAUCCGGAGAGAUGGCCUGUUAGAUCCUCCUCAACCACCAUUCAAUAGGGAUCAGAAUAUCAGGAGAGAUGGUCUGUUAGACCCUCCUCAACCACCAUUCAAUAGGGAUCAGAAUAUUAGGAGAGAUGGUCUGUUAGACCCGCCUCAACCACCCUUCAGUGGGGAUGAGAAAUUUUGCAGAGAUGGCCUGUUAGACCCCCCUCAACCUCCAUUAAAUAGGGAUGAGAAUAUCAGGAAAGAUGGUCUGUUAGACCCUUCUCAACCACCGUUCAAUAGGGAUGACAAUUUCAGGAGAGGUGGUCUGUUAGACCCUCCUCAUCCAUCAUUGAGUCUGGAUGAGAAUAUGCAGCCUCAGUUGGUAGCUAAUACCUUAUACCAAACAUUUGCUUGGGAUGAGAACAUGCAGGCCAUGUUGUUCAACAGAACAGAUAAUCAACUGGAUACCCCACACCCACCCAUAACAUAUGAUGAGAAUGACAGAAGAGAUGCUCAACUAGAUCCCCUACAGCCAACACUUAGGGAUGAGAGCCAGAGAGAUGGCCUGUUACCUCCCCCUCUCCCAGUAUUCAGUGGGAAUGAGCCCACACCAAACAGAAGAGGUCUGUUAGAUCCCCCUAUUGCCAUGACUCUCAGUGGAGAUAUGUGUCAUUUUGAUAACAGACGUGAUGAUUAUGGACACCUGGCAUGCAGAUCACAACCUAAACCUCAUCUUCCAAGAGGUGAACAAGGCAAUGGUGGACAGUCAGUGAAUCAGGGGCCUCAACCUGUGCAUGUUAUAGAGCCCCCCACAGCAUCUUGCAGUGUACAAGCAGAACAGAGGAAGGAUGCAAGGAAACCUAGAGCGUUCAGACGAGGUGUGAGUGUACAUGAAUUUGUUACGAAGGUAGUAUUGACUACAUUCAGCACUACUAGAAGUGCUACAUUGACAGCUGGAAAAUAUAGUGUUCCAGUGAGCUGUAAGUCAGCUGUUCCCCCAGAAAUCAACUUUGAACUGUUAAAAAACUUCCAAGGAGUAUUCAAAAGGCAAACACUGUGUUAAUAGACUGUCAGCAAUGGCUUGCCAGAGGUAUGACACCAUUAAUUACACAAGUAAAUAUGUUCGGCAAAGCACCUCAGACUCCAGCUGAGGUUUGUCGGAGAACGACUGAUUCAUUGAGGAUUUUAGCCUGUACCUGUGUCAAUAUCUCCAAAGGGAGACGACUGCUGAUGAGAUGUCACCUUCCAGAAAAAUAUGGAAUCUUGUGCAGAAUGUCCAAUUCUAUCACUAGCUCUUUGUUUGGUGAUAAAGUUGAUGAAGAUAUUCAUUCAAUACAGAUGGGAACCUCUAAGAUCAAAAUGCUAACUGGACCCAAUGAAGAGACACACAUUCCAAAAGUUAAGACUGAUCUUCUUCGUGAUGAAAACAUUGAUGAAAAUGUAGCCAGUAUGGUCAACUUGGCAUGCACAAAAGAGGGAAUUGUGAAAGAUUUGCGAGAAAAAUAUAAGAUACCUUCUAACCUGAACUGCAUGAUACCCCCAAAGCUAAACCCGGAGAUAUCUAGUAUGCUUCCUGUGGCUUGUGUGGACUUGGACACCAAGCUCCAAGAUGUCCAGUUGUCCACAUCUGAAGCUAUGGUGCCUGGUGUCUACUUGCUGGAGAGAAUACAUGAGAAGAUGUAUAAUGACAGUGAGGCUUUGAAGAUGCUGACUGAUGCCUUAGCUCUCUUGGGAGAUGCUAUGUUUCAGUAUAAUAACCUACGGAUGGAACUCUUUAAGGAGAACCUGCCAUUGCAGCUUCAGCAAGAGUGUGUUUGGAGUAGUACAGAGGAUGAGAGUAUGGUUCCAGAUUGUGAAAAAUGAGCUAGUCAAUGUUUGGGUCAAAAAGAAGAGGGUGAGUUCAUGAGAGAUGUCACAGGAAAGAUUAUUUUAUGCAGACAGAUGAGAUUAGGAAAAAGAUGUAGGAAAGGUGAAAGCUACAGAUGAGGUUAGAUGAAGGGGGACAGAUGAGGUUGGGAUGAAGGUGUGCAUGAGGUUAGAUGAAGGGGGACAGGUGAGGUUAGGGUGAAGGUGUGCAUGAGGUUAGAUGAAGGGGGACAGGUGAGGUUAGGGUGAAGGUGUGCAUGAGGUUAGAUGAAGGGGGGACAGGUGAGGUUAGGGUGAAGGUGUGCAUGAGGUUAGAUGAAGGGGGACAGGUGAGGUUAGGGUGAAGGUGUGCAUGAGGUUAGAUGAAGGGGGGACAGGUGAGGUUAGGGUGAUGGUGUGCAUGAGGUUUGAUGAAGGGAAAUGAGCAGAAAAUGUGGUUGUAGGAAACGUGUGGGAACAGGAAAGUGAUAUGGGUACAGGUGAUGUUAGCAGAAGGGGAAAGUUGAGGUUAGAGGUAAGGUGUACUUGAGGUUAGAGUUUUCAGGUAGGUGAGGUUAGAUGAAGGAUGUCAGUGAGGUUAUCAAAUUUAAACUUUAAAAAAAAUGAAUGCUUGUGAUACAUGGAAAGGAUUAACUGUAAAAAGAAAGUAUUUGUUUCUAUUGUAAUUUUUAGUCAUUGCAGCUUUUUGUUUAGAGUUGUGUCCCUUAGGUUGCAGGAUGCACUGAUUGCGAUUUGAUAAUAGGAACCACACCCAAAUUUCAGUUCUUUGCCAGUUUAUUGUCAUCAUUUAGUUACCGGUAUCCUGUUGCGUCUUUGUGUGAAACAUACAUCCAGUCGACAUUCAGCCCCCUAUUCCACAAAGGUGUUCAUAGAGCUAUGAUAGUCAUGAGUUGAUUAAGGGAGUUACAACAGUCAUAGUUUUAUGAUCUUGUGAAUCAUUGCUGUUUCCUGGUGUGAUUCUUUAUCAUGCCAUCUAUGUGUGAAAUGUGGAUCAGAUGCACAGUGCUUGGCCUUGCUGAUAAUGUGUUGUAUCCACAUGUAUGAAUGUCUUAAACAUUUAUUUCUCUGUAUGUACAUUAUAUGAAACUUGUUUCUCUCCUUUGAUAUUGACAUGAUUUUGUUAAUAUAUGAUGUUAACAUCAGGGAUGGCAACAGGAAAUCUAUUUUCAGCUGAAAACUUAAUAUUGUGUCAUCGAAUGGGUCAUUUGAAUUGAUCAAUUUGAAAUAAAAUAGUCGGAAAUCCGCAGAUCAGCGGAAAAUUGCCAUCCCUGUAAUAUUGGCUACAUUUUAAUAUUUAGACUAUUCAUGUUCUUGAGGGAGAAUUGAAAUUUGUCGAUAGAUAAACAUGGUUUGUAUAUAUUGUCUGUGUUAAAGUAGUCAUGAUUAACAUUGGAAUGUACAAGAAUACAGGAAUGAAACACUUAAUGAUUUUUCCUGGUGCAGAAAUGAGUUUAAUGUGCUCCAAAUUUUGUAUGGCAAUGUAUGUUGUCUUUUACAUCAUUUAUGGAAAGCUUUAUCAAGUAAUGCUUUUACGGCAAAGUUAACAGUUCAGCAGAGACAAGAAUAUUCUUUUUAGAGUUAAUUUCAUGCAAUGAUUCUCAUAUAGAUUUUGAAAGAAAUAUGGGAAUCUCUAACAUCAAGUCUUUGUUUAGGAUUUCUUCCAUCUGCAAAAGUGCUGAUGAAAUUUUAGGCACAUCCCCACAGCUCUCUAGCGAUACUUUGUGAAACUGAAAUGCUGUCGAAAGGGGCCUUAAUCUAUUACUCAGGAAGACCACUCAACACACUUGUAUUCCAUUUCCUUGUUUUCUUUUCAUAUUAAACAUUAAUUGUGAA
This 7206-nucleotide unclassified non-coding RNA is filed under the name Haliotis rubra (blacklip abalone). RNAcentral describes it as "uncharacterized LOC124291921, transcript variant X1". The record is from RNAcentral. Lineage: Eukaryota; Metazoa; Mollusca; Gastropoda; Lepetellida; Haliotidae.